This 329-nucleotide ribosomal RNA is filed under the name uncultured eukaryote. Its description in RNAcentral is "partial 18S ribosomal RNA". It matches the Rfam family "Eukaryotic small subunit ribosomal RNA", at positions 1470 to 1796 of the family's 1831-position model. The record is from RNAcentral.
CCCUUAGAUGUUCUGGGCCGCACGCGCGCUACACUGAUGCAUUCAACGAGUCUAAAACCUGCUCUGAUAGGGGUGGGUAAUCUUUUGAAUGCGCAUCGUGAUUGGGAUAGAUGAUUGAAAUUUUUCAUCUUCAACGAGGAAUGCCUAGUAAACGCAAGUCAUCAGCUUGCAUUGAUUACGUCCCUGCCCUUUGUACACACCGCCCGUCGCUCCUACCGAUUGAAUGAUCCGAUGAAUAUCAUGGAUUGAGGAUGCAAGUAGGUUCACCUAUCUUCAUCUUCGAGAAGUGAAGUAAAUCUUAUCAUUUAGAGGAAGGAGAAGUCGUAACA